This is an RNA transcript of Alosa sapidissima (American shad), 1325 nucleotides long. RefSeq lists it as uncharacterized. The transcript is spliced from 6 exons. The record is from RefSeq and is a predicted model, not a curated record. NCBI's taxonomy places the organism in Eukaryota, Metazoa, Chordata, Actinopteri, Clupeiformes, Clupeidae.
UUGUUACUUUCCCAACACUACAGUAACGUUAAUCUGGCGUUUUCAUACUGGUAACUGUUAGCAUGCUAUUGGUCUGAUAGUUAAUGUUAGUGUUAUAAAACGAUAACUUAAAUCACUGAUUCCAUGAUGGGUUUGUUCAACGUGGCUCAACCAUUUUAACUGUUACUGUACAGAAACCAGAGCUAAUUGAAAUAGCUAAUGAGCUAACUCUAACAGAUUGCCAUGUGCUAGCUAAUGGGACAUAGCAUUUACGUUAACUUCACUUCACCCAUAUGCUGCAGAGAAUAAAAUAUUCAACCAGCACGACGUUACCUUUGUAGUUAACGUUACAGUGUACUCUAUUUUGGCAACCAACUGAGAAAAAUGGAUAGGUGCAUGAUGCUUUUGCGUGUUCAGUUCGUUGGCGAGCAAAAAGGUGUGAAGCUGUCAGAACCAACAUUUGAUGCUUUCUUGAAAGAAGGUCAAUAUCACACCGGAAUUCUCCUUUAAGUUGGUGGGCCAGGCCAUAGUCGACAACCCUUCACCUAUGACAAAGUGCCAUCUGAUGAGAUGAUGAAAACGACCUUCAUUUAUCGGCAAGCAAUGGUCAAUGAUGAAAACAAAUCAUCAGAUGUCUUAUUGGUCUUCCUGCGAUUUCUGGACACACGGGGACUGAUAGAACAGGAUUUCAGACUUCUGUUUGGUGAGACAACGGCCAACAAAUCCUUGGAGAGGUGGCCAACCACUUUCAAAGCAAAAGUAAUAAAGGAGAGCCAUGGACUUGUACCCACCACAGAACUCUUGGACUUGAUGCACAAUGCUGAGUCAGCUGCUCAAGUUGAGAAUGGCUGGGACAGUGACAUGUCUGCCAUCUUGCUGCUGCUACAUCUGCUACCACCAUCUGCACAAGGUCGAAAGGGGUCGGGAAAGAUGUCUGCAUCUCAAGCUAUAGAUCAGCUCAUCAGAUUUCAAAAGGUUGGAAGCAGUGUGCAUCAGCAUCUAGACAACAUCACCCAAAGUACUCAGCCCUACCUUCUCGCCCAGGGAUCCACACAGAGCAGCAUUCACUCCUACUUCAUUGAGAUUGACAAGCAUGCGCUUCCAUGCAAGGCAACAGGUUCAGUGGGAGCUUUUGACGAACUCUUUAAAGCCCAUUACGUCUUUGGUAUGUUGUACAGUUUUUCCUUGAGCAGCUUUUUCACUUUUGUGCAAACAACUUUAACAUCGAUCUGGGGGAAACAAAGGAGACUCCAAGAGUUGCCGAGUUGUGUGAAAGAAUUGUGCAUUAGUUGAGAUGUGUUUUCUUUGCAAGUACAAAAAACUCUUUGCGAAAGUGAUAAAGGAAG